RNAcentral lists this ribosomal RNA (732 nucleotides) under uncultured bacterium. RNAcentral describes it as "bacterial SSU rRNA". It matches the Rfam family "Bacterial small subunit ribosomal RNA", at positions 66 to 788 of the family's 1533-position model. The record is from RNAcentral.
ACGAGAAAGGGGCAACCCUGAGUAGAGUGGCGCACGGGUUGCGUAACACGUAGAUAACCUAGCCCUUUGGAGGGGGAUAACGUUCCGAAAGGAGCGCUAAUACCGCAUACAGCCGAGCUUGGUUUGCUGAGCUUGGGCAAAGGUAGGGACCGGCAACGGCCUAUCGCCAGAGGAGGGGUCUGCGGCCCAUCAGCUAGUUGGUAAGGUAAUGGCUUACCAAGGCAGAGACGGGUAGCUGGUCUGAGAGGAUGAUCAGCCACACUGGUACUGGAACACGGACCAGACUCCUACGGGAGGCAGCAGUGGGGAAUCUUGGUCAAUGGGCGCAAGCCUGAACCAGCGAUGCCGCGUGAGUGAUGAAGGCCUUCGGGUUGUAAAGCUCUGUGGGGAGGGACGAAAGAAUCGGUUCUAACAGGACCGAAGUUGACGGUACCUCCUUAGCAAGCACCGGCUAACUCUGUGCCAGCAGCCGCGGUAAGACAGAGGGUGCAAACGUUGCUCGGAAUCACUGGGCGUAAAGGGCGUGUAGGCGGGCAGGUAAGUCGGGCGUGAAAUCCCUGGGCUUCAACCCAGGAACUGCACUCGAAACUACUUGCCUUGAGUGCCGGAGAGGAAGCGGAAUUCUGGUGGUAAAGGUGAAAUUCGUAGAUAUCAGGAGACACCAGUGGCGAGGGGCUUUCUGACGUGACUGACGCUGAAACGCGAAGCGUGGGGAGCAACAGAUAAAACCUU